GAAGUACCCAAGUAGGUUGUUUUUUUUCUCACGGAUGAGUUUUUCUCAGUUCCAGUUAAGUGGUUGCAUGCGUGUUACUGCCUUAGCCAUUCAUCUAUUCAAAUUUUGGGUUUAGGUUUGUUGCAGAUUUAUACCUGGAUUUGUUCAUAAUUUUCCAGACGAUAAAUGAAGAGCAUGGAGCAGUUCCUUAUCAUUGUUCUAUUAGCAGGAGGAACACUCGCUCUCGUUCCAGUUGAUGAGACUACUUGCGACCUCAGGACAAACACAUUUCCAUGCUCUCCUAUUCUUGAAGGAACUGUGUAUAUCCAAGUGAUGAAUGAUGCUAGUGGCCGUGAAAUGAAGUGUUUGAAGGUGCUCCCCAGUGUGAACAUAACUGUGUUCAAUCUGAAGAAAGGAAAAAUAACGAUAGACAAGGAAUUUAGCAACAGACUACAGUUUCUAAUCAAGAACGGGACACUCAAGAUCACAAACCUGAGGAGGAAUGAUUCAGGUCAAUACAGCAUUGAGGUCUUUAAUUCAGAUGGAGUUCAAGAGAAAAACAUUCUUUUCACCCUGGAUGUUAAAGACAAUGGCGAAGUUGAAGCUCUGGUUCCAGUUGAUGAGACUACUUGUGACCUCAGGACGAACACAUGCCCGUGCUUUCCUCUUCUUAAAGGAACUGUGUAUAUCCAAGUGAUGACUGAUGCCAGUGGCCAUGAAAUGAAGUGUUUGAAGGUGCUUCCCAAGGGAAACACAACUGUUUUCAAUCUGAAGAAAGGAAAAAUAACGACAGACAAGGAAUUUAACAACAGACUACAGUUUCUAAUCAAGAACGGGACACUCAAGAUCACAAACCUGAGGAGGAAUGAUUCAGGUCGAUACAGCAUUGAGGUCUUUAAUUCCAAUGGAGUCCUAGAGAAAAAUAUUCAUUUCACCCUGGAUGUUAAAGACAAUGGCAACGUUGAAGCUCUCGUUACAGAUGAUGAGACCACUUGUGACCUCAGGACAAACACAUGUCCAUGCUCUCCUAUUUUUGAAGGAACUGUGUAUAUCCAAGUGAUGAAUGAUGCUAGUGGCCGUGAAAUGAAGUGUUUGAAGGUGCUUCCCAAGGGGAACAUAACUGUGUUCAAUCUGAAGAAAGGAAAAAUAAUGAUAGACAAGGAAUUUAACAACAGACUAACAUUUAUAAUCAAGAACGGGACACUCAAGAUCACAAACGUGAGGAGGAAUGAUUCAGGUCAAUACAGCAUUGAGGUCUUUAAUUCAAAUGGAGUUCAAGAGAAAAACAUUCAUUUCACCCUGGAUGUUAAGGACAAUGGCAAAGUUGAAGCUCCUGUGUCCUCUGUCCUGCUGGUCUCUGAGUGUCAGUCCCAGGGAGAGAUGAGGGUGUCCUGCUCCUCUGAGGGAGGGGACAGUCCUCAGUACAGCUGGACUCUGGAUGGACGCACACUGACAGAUGCUGAGCUCCUUCCUGGAAAUAAUGAGAGUAACAUCAUCACUCUGAAACAGCACGUCUCAGGACAUCUGGUCUGCUCAGUCAGGAACAACGUCAGUGAUGCCUUCAAAGAAGAGAUGAUAUCUACCUGUGGCUUUGUUUUCAUCAGCUGCUCAUUAUUUAAUGGGACACAGAUGUCAGGGUGGGUGCAUAAGUCCAGUAAUACCCUUUGUCCAGAACCAACAGGAGACCCUACCACAGCCACACAGACUGCAGUAGGUACUUCCUGGUUCAUGUUUGGUUUGAAAGCCACUGUGGUAAUUAUAUCAUUAAGUGGGAUUUCGCUCUAUUUCGCUUGGAAGAAAAAAACAAUAUUGGAAGGCUCUGCUGUCUCACAAAGGAUGGAAUCUCCAGAUAACUCUGUUUUGAUGAUUGCAUUGAGUUCUCACUCCAACACAUAGUGCCACCUUUCACCUGUUGUACAUUUCUCAUGUGUCCUUAUAGGCUUGUAAAUAAGGAUUAGUGGUCGUUUUUUCAUUCCACAUUUUAUUCACAGCUUAGUAUAUUUUUAGUAUAUGUCAAUAUGUUUUUUGUGUUUUUAUUAUUCAAGAACAGCAAUCCAGCAAAAUAUAAUAGAAGUGGAAAAUCAGAGAAAGAUCUUUGUCUCCUUCUUUCAUGUAUUGUUUAUUUUUGCAAUUGUAUUUCAUCUGUCUACUUGAAAUAUAUUCCAAAAAGACAUUAAGCACAUAUGUUAGUAUUUUUUGUCACAGUGGCUGUGUGGGUGGCAGAGAUUGGACACAAAUCCGACUUUUUUGACCCUAUGCAACCUAUAUCCGAUCAUGGUAUGACAGUAUGAACAGCACAAAUCUGAUAUUUUCAAAUCCGACCUGGGUCACUUUUGUAUGUGGUACUGAGUCCGAUACAUAUCUGAUGUUUUAGAAAGCGACUGCUGUUUGAAUGGUCAUGUCGCAUUAAAUCCGUCUUUUACGUCACUAACACAAGACAGACACUGAUUAUCAGCACCAGAGAAGACAAACGAGAAAGCAUGGCGGCGGAAACUGGAGAUGGAGGGAGUCAAUGGACAGAAACUGAGGUUUUGGACUUGAUUAGCGUAUGGGGAGACAAUUCUGUUCAAGCUAAAUUUGUAGGGUCGUAUCGUAACUGGGCUGUGUUCGGGUGCAUUGCCAAAGAAAUGGUUGAACGAGGGCACAGGCCAGCGUGGCCACAGUGUCAGAGGAUAGUGAAGAGCCUCAGAGCCAACUUUAAAGAAGCUAAAGAUAUAAACAAAUGUAGUCGGACGUGGUCGACCACAUUUUGUUCUUUCUCAAAAGUAUAUGUGAAGAUCAUUCUAAACUACAGAUGUGUGUGAAAGUGUACUAUAGGGAAGGGUCAGAAUAUAAGCAAGAAGAAAAAUACAGAGGCUCGUGGUAAAAGCUGCAUCUGAGCUUGUGGUUUGUGUAGUGACCCUUACUGCUGUUUCAUUUCUUUGUGGUUACAAUGACAAUCUUCUCUUUUUUGUUGAAACCUAACAUCUAACCUCAACAAAUAGAACUUUAAAAGUCACUGAGCAACACAACAAUCACUAAUGUCUGUACAUGUGUUUUGAGCACGAAGGCUCAGAUGUAUCAAAUAAAAUAUUUAUAGCUUAAUUAUACAUUAUAAUGACUGUCAUGUCUGUGUUAAACUGGCAUCAAUUUGUUUGUAAACUUCUCUUUUGGGUUACAUUCAUUUAAAAGAAAAUAUUACAGUCUCAGUGAAACUGCAUAAUUAGUUGGAGAAUAAAAUGACACCACUGGUUUGUGA
Molecule: long non-coding RNA, 3217 nt
Organism: Oreochromis aureus
Lineage: Eukaryota; Metazoa; Chordata; Actinopteri; Cichliformes; Cichlidae
Source: Ensembl